AGUAGGGUGCCAUCAAGAGGUGUAUUUGGAAAUAUCCC
Molecule: ribosomal RNA, 38 nt
Filed under: Enterocytozoon bieneusi
Lineage: Eukaryota; Fungi; Microsporidia; Enterocytozoonidae
Description: partial large subunit ribosomal RNA
Source: RNAcentral